Long non-coding RNA from Populus trichocarpa (black cottonwood), 1082 nucleotides. RefSeq lists it as uncharacterized. NCBI's taxonomy places the organism in Eukaryota, Viridiplantae, Streptophyta, Magnoliopsida, Malpighiales, Salicaceae. The transcript is spliced from 6 exons. The record is from RefSeq and is a predicted model, not a curated record.
UGAUGGAUGCUGAAGAAGGGGGAGAGUAUUUUAGCAAAGUUUUCUCAAAGGAUUCAAUAUUUUUUAUUAUUAUUAUUAUUGUUUAUUACCUAAUGAAAGCUUACAUACCUUAAUUAUUCAUAGCUUGAUAUUAUGAUUUAACUAAAAUUCUAAUAAAAAUAAUUUUAAUUCAAGAUAUAAUCUAACAUAGAUAAUUCUAAUGAAACUCCAAUUGUUGCUGUUGCAGCAAUUGGAGUAAUUCUUGGCUGGCUCUUCUCAAUUUUAGCUUUCUUGCCCAUUACACUUUGCUCUUUGGGUAGAACAUUCAAGCCAACUUUUUCGGCUGGCGCUGUCGCCUCUGUUGUUCUUUUUGUAAGUCCAUUGUUGGCUGGGGUUUAUGUCUUUGCAACCACACAAAGAAGAAAGGUUCCUUUAUCCAAUAAACCCCUUUGUCUGUGUUGCUGCUUCAGCUGUCAUUGGAAGCUUUCCUGAUCUUUUCCAAGACAAGUAUAAUCCCCAGGACAGUUCUUGGCUGGUUUUGAUAGCUAAAUUUGUUAGGCCUGUAGUUCUUGGCCUGAUAUUAUCUGCAUCCCAAGCUCACACGUUUUCAUUGAUUAAUGGUUAUGGCUAUUGAGGCUUACAAAAUUUUGGAGCACCAUGAUGAUGUAGGGAAAGGUUCUACUCUUUGUGUCGGAAGUGAAUGGCAUCGGCUUCCUCCAUGAUUUUUUGUUCCUGAAUACAUCAGUGCAGUUUGGUGGAUUGAUGAUGGAUUCCGAGGUCUUCUUCCAUUACCUUUCAAUUCUACCCUGAGUGGGACUGCAUCAGCACCUCCUUACUUUAACAACAAGAACAGCUCCGAGAUCUUGAAGCUUGCACUUUCCUUAUUGAGCUGCAGCUUGAUUGACCUUACCCUACUCGUGGAAGUGACUUGUCAACUUGGGAGCUGAUUGCAGCAUUGCCCUAUCUAGACAGGGAGCUCUCAACCUCCCAUGCAUCGGUUCUUUUUCAUCCCACAUAUAAAGAAAUUAAUUUAAAAAUUACUAAUAAAUACUUGAUAUUAUGUAUUAUGUAAACAUGCAUUAUAUAGAGAAAUCAAUUUGAAA